Molecule: long non-coding RNA, 501 nt
Organism: Carcharodon carcharias (great white shark)
Lineage: Eukaryota; Metazoa; Chordata; Chondrichthyes; Lamniformes; Lamnidae
Exons: 3
Source: RefSeq, a predicted model, not a curated record
ACCCAGGAACGUGUAACAGGUCUGGAUUCUUGAAGUGAGAGAGAGAAAGAAAAUCAAACUUGCAGUACAGGAGGGCUGAAAAUUGAUUGGCUGGAGAAGACAAGUCAUAACCAGACAAGACAGUUUUCAUAAUCAAUUUAUAAGUUUCUUGUCGAGAGGGCACGUACAGGUGAAGAGCAGCCCAACCUCCUGCUGCCCAGCCGGUUCAAGCAAGAUGCCCUGGAGCUUGAGCUGACACGUUCAACCGGACAAGGAGAGGCGGGAGUGCCAGAUGAAGAUAAGAGUGCAGUGCACGGAGGUUUGCCAGCAGGCGUGUGCUCUUUGGACCCCAGAGGACCACCCCUGAUGCCAGAGGACCACCAAGCUUCUGUUGUACCUGCAUUACAGCCGUUCUCUGAAGCAGGCACCAGUGCAGAUACCAGCAUCUUGAUGGGCAUUAGAUUGGCGGCUAGAAUGUGCACAUUCACUUCACACUCGCUUGAAGUGCAGGCAGAGGCAGAG